This 253-nucleotide ribosomal RNA is filed under the name uncultured bacterium. RNAcentral describes it as "partial 16S ribosomal RNA". It matches the Rfam family "Bacterial small subunit ribosomal RNA", at positions 524 to 776 of the family's 1533-position model. The record is from RNAcentral.
UACGUAGGGGGCAAGCGUUGUCCGGAAUCAUUGGGCGUAAAGCGCGUGUAGGCGGCUCGAUAAGUCUGCUGUGAAAGUCCAGGGCUCAACCCUGGAAAGCCGGUGGAAACUGUCGAGCUAGAGUCCGGAAGAGGCGAGUGGAAUUCCUGGUGUAGCGGUGAAAUGCGCAGAUAUCAGGAGGAACACCAAUGGCGAAGGCAGCUCGCUGGGACGGUACUGACGCUGAGACGCGAAAGCGUGGGGAGCAAACAGG